UACAGAGAGUGCGAACGUUGUUCGGAAUUACUGGGCUUAAAGCGCACGUAGGCGGCUCCGCAAGUGUCGGGUGAAAUCCCACGGCUUACCCGUGGAACUGCCCGGCAGACUGCGGAGCUAGAGGAUGGUAGGGGAGAGCGGAACUCCUGGUGGAGCGGUGAAAUGCGUAGAUAUCAGGAGGAACACCGGUGGCGAAGGCGGCUCUCUGGUCCAUAACUGACGCUGAGGUGCGAAAGCUAGGGGAGCAAACGGG
Molecule: ribosomal RNA, 253 nt
Filed under: uncultured bacterium
Lineage: Bacteria
Description: partial 16S ribosomal RNA
Rfam family: Bacterial small subunit ribosomal RNA
Source: RNAcentral